This 513-nucleotide ribosomal RNA is filed under the name uncultured bacterium. RNAcentral describes it as "partial 16S ribosomal RNA". It matches the Rfam family "Bacterial small subunit ribosomal RNA", at positions 28 to 523 of the family's 1533-position model. The record is from RNAcentral.
GACGAAUGCUGGCGGCGUGCCUAAUACAUGCAAGUUGAGCGAUGAAGAUUGGUGCUUGCACCAAUUUGAAGAGCAGCGAACGGGUGAGUAACGCGUGGGGAAUCUGCCUUUGAGCGGGGGACAACAUUUAGAAACGAAUGCUAAUACCGCAUAACAACUUUAAACAUAAGUUUUAAGUUUGAAAGAUGCAAUUGCAUCGCUCAAAGAUGAUCCCGCGUUGUAUUAGCUAGUUGGUGAGGUAAAGGCUCACCAAGGCGAUGAUACAUAGCCGACCUGAGAGGGUGAUCGGCCACAUUGGGACUGAGACGCGGCCCAAACCCCUACGGGAGGCAGCAGUAGGGAAUCUUCGGCAAUGGACGAAAGUCUGACCGAGCAACGCCGCGUGAGUGAAGAAGGUUUUCGGAUCGUAAAACUCUGUUGGUAGAGAAGAACGUUGGUGAGAGUGGAAAGCUCAUCAAGUGACGGUAACUACCCAGAAAGGGACGGCUAACUACGUGCCAGCCGCCGCCGUAA